Molecule: ribosomal RNA, 468 nt
Filed under: uncultured bacterium
Lineage: Bacteria
Description: partial 16S ribosomal RNA
Rfam family: Bacterial small subunit ribosomal RNA
Source: RNAcentral
GACGAACGCUGGCGGCGUGCUUAACACAUGCAAGUCGAACGGAAAGGCCCUGCUUUUGUGGGGUGCUCGAGUGGCGAACGGGUGAGUAACACGUGAGUAACCUGCCCUUGACUUUGGGAUAACUCCAGGAAACUGGGGCUAAUACCGGAUAGGAGCUCCUGCUGCAUGGUGGGGGUUGGAAAGUUUCGGCGGUUGGGGAUGGACUCGCGGCUUAUCAGCUUGUUGGUGGGGUAGUGGCUGACCAAGGCUUUGACGGGUAGCCGGCCUGAGAGGGUGACCGGCCACAAUGGGCCUGCGGUACGGACCAGACUCCUACGGUAGGCAGCAGUGGGGAAUAUUGCACAGUGGGCGGACGCCUGAGGCAGCAGCCCCGCGUGCGGGAUGACGUCCUUCGGGUGAUAAACCGCUUUCGCCUGAGACAAAGCGUGAGUGACGGUAAUGGGUAAAAAAGCACCGGCUAACUACGUG